This 492-nucleotide ribosomal RNA is filed under the name uncultured bacterium. RNAcentral describes it as "partial 16S ribosomal RNA". It matches the Rfam family "Bacterial small subunit ribosomal RNA", at positions 29 to 507 of the family's 1533-position model. The record is from RNAcentral.
AGUGAACGCUGGCGGUAGGCCUAACACAUGCAAGUCGAACGGCAGCACAGUAAGAGCUUGCUCUUACGGGUGGCGAGUGGCGGACGGGUGAGGAAUACAUCGGAAUCUACUUUUUCGUGGGGGAUAACGUAGGGAAACUUACGCUAAUACCGCAUACGACCUACGGGUGAAAGCAGGGGAUCUUCGGACCUUGCGCGAUUGAAUGAGCCGAUGUCGGAUUAGCUAGUUGGCGGGGUAAAGGCCCACCAAGGCGACGAUCCGUAGCUGGUCUGAGAGGAUGGUCAGCCACACUGGAACUGGGACACGGUCCAGGCUCCUACGGGAGGCAGCAGUGGGGAAUAUUGGACAAUGGGCGCAAGCCUGAUCCAGCCAUACCGCGUGGGUGAAGAAGGCCUUCGGGUUGUAAAGCCCUUUUGUUGGGUAAGAAAAGCAGCAGGUUAAUACCCCGCUGUUCUGACGGUACCCAAAGAAUAAGCACCGGCUAACUUCGUG